This is a long non-coding RNA of Siniperca chuatsi (mandarin fish), 1004 nucleotides long. RefSeq lists it as uncharacterized. The record is from RefSeq and is a predicted model, not a curated record. NCBI's taxonomy places the organism in Eukaryota, Metazoa, Chordata, Actinopteri, Centrarchiformes, Sinipercidae. The transcript is spliced from 2 exons.
AUCGUUUAUGUCCCAGGUAUCUUAACAUCCAAAGACUGCAACUUCUACAAAACGCUGCUGUCAGCGUACAUCUGUGACUAACUCCCUAUGUGCCUGAUCGCUGCUCGAGAUCCUCCGGCAGGGCCAAAAGCUCUACUUGUCAAUUUUAUCUUAUGGCUUUUUCUUAACUUAUGGUAUUUGUUGCAAUUGUCUGAAUUAUUUUGUUUUACAUCUUUUCUUUUAAACUUAUAUUAAUAUUUUUAUUGUAAAGUACAUUGUGACUUUGUUUUGAAACGUGCUAUAUAAAUAAAGGUAUUAUUAUUGUUAUGUAUCAUUACAGCAUGUGACUGCAAAUUCCAUUUUUGCUUUGAGGCUUUCCAACUAGCACAGGUGUGCUUAACACUAACGAAUUCUAAUGAAUAUCAGUGUACCGUUCCCCCUGCAGGCUUCACUGACACCCUGACACAGGAGUUUAAAAAUAAUUUAAUUAAAUAAUGUAUUUAAAUUCCUACCUACUCUUAAAAUAUGUCCAUGCCUGAUUUAAAAAAAGCAAAACAAAGUACAACAUAUUGAAAAGCUGAGACCUAAUGCCAUGAUCAUGCAUUGAAGAAAUUACAUGUCAAAAAUGGGAGGAUAUAUAUUGUUUGCUCCAGCUUUGGAAGCGUCCAUGCUUUAGUGGCAUGGCAGGCAAAGGAUAAAAAGGGAUUGAAUAAAGUAUCCUAAGCUUGCAGCUAGAACAUUUAAUUAACAGACAAUGAUUUGAUCCAACAAGGAUUAUAUUUGUGUUUGCUGACAAUGUUGGAGCUUUCCAAUUUGUAACACCUUGUGGAAGACAGACACCAGAGCCCAUAAAGAUCUCCCUAACGUAAACUUUAUUUCUUCAGUCAGCAGUAGUUCUUAAGGACAGUAAACCCCAGUAAAUGCAGCAUAACAACACAGAAGGCAGUAUCUUUUUUCAGUUGUGUUUUUUCUGAACAGGUUGUGGAGGGAAGAAAAUCUCUCCCAGGUUUCGGAGUAGCCCUCUG